GGCGCCUCUGGUCCAUAACCUGUAGCACGCUUGAAUUGCCUUGGUGACUAAAAACACCGGCUUUUGGAAUUUAUCAGAACUGGUUCGAACCCAGUUUCACCACCUACAAACUGUAUGACCUUGGGAGAGAUACUGGACCUCACUACACGCAGUACCCUCAUCUGUAAUGCAGGGAUAGUUAACAAUAUUGACAGGAUUAAAUAAUGUAGGUAAAACCUUCUGGUACAUAGUAAGCACUCAAUAAAUGUAGUUGUUAUAUUGACACCCCAGCAUUACCACCUUGCCACAGGCAAGAAGACCCCCCCCCCCCCAGAGAGAGAAAGCCUACUACUUUAGGAGCACCGCAUUCCUUCAUUUGGGCGAUUGUGACUAGUGUUUCAGAAGUUCUAGCCUUUGAAGCCUCAAAGAACAAAUUAGUCUCUCUUGGACCUUGGACUUUGUCUGCCCAAGGUCUUCUCUUGGAGAUCAGUAUCUCCCACUCCUUUCAUUCUUCCUUCUUUGCCCUGAUCCUGAGGGUCUCUUCUCCUUCUACCCAUACACCUGGUCAAUUUGUGACUCCUUUAGAAUAUGUCACCCAAGACUGACAGUGUUUGUGGUGCCACUAGGACAAAGCACUAUCACUUCCUCCUUGUAGGACUUACUGACUUGAAUCAUGCAAUAAAGUUGUUGGCACCUGAUGGCCUCUGCCUGUAGUCCCAGCUACUUGGAAGACUGAGGCAGCAGGACUGCUUAAGCCCUGAAAUUUGAGGCCAAUCUGGGCAACAUAGAGAGACCCUGUCUGGAAAGAGAGAGAGAGAGAGAGAAAAGAAAACAGUUCUUGGCAUCCACACUAUUGACUCCUAUUUAAGCUUGAAGUCAGGGGAAAUACUGGGGAAUGAUAUUGGCCAAAUUAUAUUGUAACACAACCUCUACAUAUGAAUAUAUUGUAAUAUCACCUGCAUAUAUGAAUAUAUAACAACAUAUCCACCAGCAUCUAUAAUUAUAAUGCAACAACAAAAAAUAUGGGGAAAAAUAACUUUCAGUCAACUUAAACCACCAAGUUGUUUUUUUUGUUGUUGUUGUUUUGGUACUAGGGAUUGAGCCCAGGGAUGUUUUACCACUGAGUUAUAUCCCCAGGCCUUUUUAUAUUUUAUUUUGAAACAGGGUCUUAAAUUCCCAGGCUGGCCUCAAACAAACCUGCACUCCUCAUGCCUCAGCCUCCUGAGUAGUUCAGAUUACAGGCAGGCAUCACUACACCAGCCUUCCAGUCUUUCUACCGAGUACUCCACUCCAGCAUUUCUAUCUCCUCCUAUGUUUUUGAGCCAACUUCAUUCAAUUCAGGUCAGGGAUUUUGGCCUCUUACCUACUAGAUUUUUCAGGAUAUGGGAGAAAAGGGAAUGGAGAAGAUGGAAGUUAACUUAACACCAUCUUUAAACCAAAUUUAAAAGUCUUUUAAAAGGUCAGGGUUUGUAUCUAAAGAAAUACUGAGUUUGCUCAUGCACAGGCACACAUGCAAAGUGAUUUCAACUGGAAAAAAAAAGUGAACACAUACAAAAGAUUAAAAGAAAAUAUGUAACAGGAUAUUUUAACAAUGAUUUUCUUAUAAGUGCAGUGGCGUCAUGCUGGUAAUCCCAGCAGUUUGGGAGGCUGAGGCAGGAGGAGCACAAGUUCAAAGCAGCCUCCAAAAUUUAGAGAGGCCCUAAGCAACUUAAAAAGACCCUGUCUCAAAAAAAAUUUUGUUUGUUUGUUUUAAAGUCUGGGGAUGUGGCUUAAUGGUUAAAUGCCCCUGGGUUUAAUCCCUGGUACAAAAAAAAAGACUUACGAUGCUUUUUUCUUUACACUUUACCAUUAAUUUCUUAUACUGUGUUAUUUUUGUAAUCAAGAAUCCUAUUACCCAAAAAAUUCAGAGAAAAUAUAAUUAAAAUGUAAUCAGAGAGAUGGGCUGGGUAGGGUACUUGUGUAGCAUGUAUGAGGCCCUAGCUUCAAACCCCAACACAUACACAAACACACACACACAAAAAAAAAAAAAAUCAGAGAAAUGGGAAUAAGUUGAAAAAUUGGAAACAAAAUUAAAAGAUAACAGAAUAGCAGAAAAUAUUUGCAAUACAUAAAACAGACAAACCAUUUAUGUUCGUCUAUAAGAAAUAUAAGAAAAAGAAAACAAUAGGAAAGUGAGAUAAGAAUAUAGUUCAUAGAAAAAGAAGUACAAACUGCCAAAAAAAAAAAAAACACAAAAAGAUGCUCAAUCUCAUCAGUAAUUAUAGAAAUGGUAAAUAAAAUUGAGUCUGGCAAACAAUUUCAAGCUUUGUAACAUCAAACUAUAUAAACUGGCACAGCCAUUUCAGAGGACAAUAGAACACCUGCUAAGUCAGCAGUGUUGCCCCUGGUUAUCUACCAUAAUUCCAUGUGCACAUGAAGAUAUGUAUAGGCCAACCAAUAAAGAAAAUUUGGAAAUCAGCCUCAGUGCUCACCAACAGAGGAAUGGCUAAAUGAAAUGGAGAAUACUCAUAUAAUGGAAUUCUGUAGAGAACUUAAAUGACCUCAAUCUACGUGUAUCAACAUAGACAUUUUCAAUUUUGUAUUAUUGAAUGAAAAUAGCAAGUUGAAGAAUGAUAUAGUAUUGAUAUAUAUGGAAUACAGUAUCAAUAUUAUAUAUAUAUUCUUUUAAAUCCUUCCCCCAAAUGAAAAUUUUCAGGCUUAUCAAGAAAAACUAUC
RNAcentral lists this long non-coding RNA (2694 nucleotides) under Marmota monax (woodchuck). The record is from RNAcentral. Lineage: Eukaryota; Metazoa; Chordata; Mammalia; Rodentia; Sciuridae.